ACUACGGGAGGCAGCAGUGAGGAAUAUUGGUCAAUGGGCGGAAGCCUGAACCAGUCAAGUAGCGUGCAGGAUGACGGCCCUACGGGUUGUAAACUGCUUUUAUACGGGAAUAACGCGCCUUACGUGUAGGGCUUUGCAUGUACCGUAUGAAUAAGGACCGGCUAAUUCCGUGCCAGCAGCCGCGGUAAUACGGAAGGUCCGGGCGUUCUCCGGAGUUAUUGGGUUUAAAGGGAGCGUAGGCCGCAUGUCAAGCGUGCGGUGAAAUGUCCGGGCGCAACCCGGGCCUUGCAGCGCGAACUGGCGUGCUUGAGUCCGCGGAAAGCAGGCGGAAUUCGUCGUGUAGCGGUGAAAUGCUUAGAUAUGACGAAGAACCCCGAUUGCGAAGGCAGCCUGCUGCAGCGGAACUGACGCUGAUGCUCGAAAGCGCGGGUAUCGAACAGGAUUAGAUACCCUAGUAGUC
RNAcentral lists this ribosomal RNA (460 nucleotides) under uncultured bacterium. Its description in RNAcentral is "partial 16S ribosomal RNA". It matches the Rfam family "Bacterial small subunit ribosomal RNA", at positions 338 to 795 of the family's 1533-position model. The record is from RNAcentral.